RNAcentral lists this ribosomal RNA (434 nucleotides) under uncultured Gammaproteobacteria bacterium. RNAcentral describes it as "bacterial SSU rRNA". It matches the Rfam family "Bacterial small subunit ribosomal RNA", at positions 484 to 916 of the family's 1533-position model. The record is from RNAcentral. Lineage: Bacteria; Pseudomonadati; Pseudomonadota; Gammaproteobacteria.
GAGGAAGCCCCGGCUAACUACCUGCCAACAGCCGCGGUAAGACAUAGGGGGCGAGCGUUGUCCGGAAUUACUGGGCGUAAAGGGCGUGUAGGCGGCCUGUCAAGUCAGCUGUGAAAUUCCUCGGCUCAACCGGGGCAUUGCGGUUGAAACUGGUAGACUUGAGUGCAGAAGAGGAGGGUGGAAUUCCCAGUGUAGCGGUGAAAUGCGUAUAUAUUGGGAGGAACACCAGUGGCGAAAGCGGCCUUCUGGUCUGUAACUGACGCUGAGGCGCGAAAGCCAGGGGAGCAAACAGGAUUAGAUACCCUGGUAGUCCUGGCUGUAAACGCUGGGUACUAGGUGUAGGGGGUUUAGACGCCCUCUGUGCCGUAGUUAACGCAUUAAGUACCCCGCCGGGGGAGUACGAUCGCAAGGUUGAAACUCAGAGGAAUUGACGG